UUCUUCGCUGCAUGGUGUAUUGUUGAUGAUUGGCAAAACAUCGGAAAAUUUUUGGAUGAUAAUGUGUCUGAUCCUAAAUGGCAUUUGGUAAUAGAGUUUGUUGCUGGUUUAGUUGGAGACAAGAAGAGAUCUGGCAGCAUCAGAGAUACUAAAACAAUAGAAGAUGUUGAACAACGGUUUACAUUUUGGAUCUCACAUUUAUUUUCCAAUGACGGCAAUAAAGCAAUUGGUUUUCUGGGAGUAAAGUGCUUAUACGAGUUGCAAGACAAAGAUGUCAUCAGGUCAGCAUGUACACAACUAAAUAAGAACUAUUCUCGAGAAAUGAAGAUUGAAGAUGUUUCUUUUACUCCUGUUGAUUCGAAAGCAUUUUUCGAAUUUCUUUCUGAAUGCAAACACAUAAAUGAAGUUGUGUUCCAUUCGUGUGAGUUUAUUGAUAAUCAUGUCUGCCUUGCAAUGAAAAAGUUUUUAUUAAACUGGACAGGCGACAAAUUA
Molecule: long non-coding RNA, 492 nt
Organism: Xenia sp. Carnegie-2017
Lineage: Eukaryota; Metazoa; Cnidaria; Anthozoa; Malacalcyonacea; Xeniidae
Exons: 2
Source: RefSeq, a predicted model, not a curated record